This 617-nucleotide ribosomal RNA is filed under the name sordariomycete sp. 7653. Its description in RNAcentral is "eukaryotic LSU rRNA". The stretch from base 245 to 398 matches the Rfam family "5.8S ribosomal RNA". Lineage: Eukaryota; Fungi; Ascomycota; Sordariomycetes. The record is from RNAcentral.
UUGGUCAUUUAGAGGAAGUAAAAGUCGUAACAAGGUCUCCGUUGGUGAACCAGCGGAGGGAUCAUUAAAGAGUGUAAUAACUCCCAAACCCAUGUGAACAUACCUCAUGUUGCCUCGGCAGGUCGCGCCUCCCUCGUAGGCCCUACCCCGUAGGCUCCUACGCGGAAGGCGCGGGUACCCCUGCCGGUGGCCCACGAAACUCUGUCUCAUCGUUGAAUUCUGAACCUAUAACUAAAUAAGUUAAAACUUUCAACAACGGAUCUCUUGGUUCUGGCAUCGAUGAAGAACGCAGCGAAAUGCGAUAAGUAAUGUGAAUUGCAGAAUUCAGUGAAUCAUCGAAUCUUUGAACGCACAUUGCGCCCAUUAGUAUUCUAGUGGGCAUGCCUGUUCGAGCGUCAUUUCAACCCUUAAGCCCUUGUUGCUUAGCGUUGGGAGCCUACGGCACCGUAGCUCCCCAAAGUCAGUGGCGGAGCCGGCUCACACUCUAGACGUAGUAAUUACUCACCUCGCCUAUAGUUGGACCGGUCCCCUGCCGUAAAACGCCCCAGUAUCUAAAAGGUUGACCUCGAAUCAGGUAGGAAUACCCGCUGAACUUAAGCAUAUCAAUAAGCGGAGGA